ACGAAGGGGGCUAGCGUUACUCGGAAUGACUGGGCGUAAAGGGCGCGCAGGCGGUUUAUACAGUCAGAUGUGAAAUUCCUGGGCUUAACCUGGGCGCUGCAUUUGAUACGUAUAGACUAGAGUGUGAAAGAGGAUUGUGGAAUUCCAAGUGUAGAGGUGAAAUUCGUAGAUAUUUGGAGGAACACCGGUGGCGAAGGCGGCAAUCUGGUUCACAACUGACGCUGAGGCGCGAAAGCGUGGGGAGCAAACAGG
This 252-nucleotide ribosomal RNA is filed under the name uncultured bacterium. RNAcentral describes it as "partial 16S ribosomal RNA". It matches the Rfam family "Bacterial small subunit ribosomal RNA", at positions 525 to 776 of the family's 1533-position model. The record is from RNAcentral.